CCUGCUCAAUGAUAUUAAAUAGCCGCUUCAAGUGCUAAGGUAGCAUAAUAAAUUGCUCUUUAAUUAAGAGAUAGAAUGAAAGGAAACACGCCUUACUAAUUGUAUCCAACUAUCAAUAUUAAAUUAUACUAACCAGUAAAAAUACUAUUAACGCCUAAGCAGGACGACAAGACCCUUUCGAACUUAACCUAUAAUUUCACUGGGAAGGUGAAAACCUAUAUCUUUCCGCCUCCUUCAAUAAACGCCUUAACCGAAUAAAACCAAGUUACCGUAGGGAUAACAGCAUAAUAAUUUAAUAAAGCCCCUAUAACAUAAAUUGAUUAUGACCUCGAUGUUGAAUUAACAAAACUCUUAAUAGAAAAAAAUAAAAAAGUAAGUCUGUUCGACUUUAAAACCGUUACAU
Molecule: ribosomal RNA, 403 nt
Filed under: Speocera huisun
Lineage: Eukaryota; Metazoa; Arthropoda; Arachnida; Araneae; Ochyroceratidae
Description: partial large subunit ribosomal RNA
Rfam family: Archaeal large subunit ribosomal RNA
Source: RNAcentral